CAUAGGGGAGAUGCUCCAGGCCCUUCACCAUCUUUGUGGCCCUCCGCUGGACUCUUUCCAAGAGAAGAGGUAUCUUGGCAUGAAAAGGUUGUGCUAGAAGAAAUGACUGCCAGGUACUCAACACUUUGUCUUCCUUGGGGCACUAAAUAAAUUAAUGCUUUUUAAGUGGCUUUGCGGGCCCCCAGUUGUAAUUAUCAACUUGUAGCUCAGCUAAAAUUGCAAUUUGAACCGGUGACAAAGAGGGCAAAGGCUUCUUUGUAGUGACCAGACUCUUAUGUAUGUUGUUCUCAUUUUGUUUUCAGGGUCACUGUCGUAUCUCUUUGGAUACAAUUCGGUGUGCAUAUUUUACAGGGUGAUUGAAAAUGAUGGCUGCUCAGAGAUGCACUCCUGGUUUGGUUACAAGAUUCAUGACUUCCUUUUCUUUGGCUUCUUGUAUGGAUAUAUAUAAAAUCUCUAUUUGAUAUUCUGUUUUUUGAUUACAGAUGUGUGUUGGUUCUCCAGCAUUCUCACCCAUUUAUAAAACCACAGGUUGGUGGCUCUCGAACCAUUGAACCUUCUUGCAGAGCUCAGCUCAGGGAAAUGUGCCAAUAAUUUAGUUUUGUUAUGGUUGCACAGACCAGCUGCUAGCUGCUUACCUUUGUCUCAUGGGCUUGGUUUGGGAAUCUCCUCCCCAAGGCCUGAGGUGUGAGCCCCAGCUACAUCACUCGGAAAAAGAGAGGUUGUUAUGCAUGGUUUGUGAUUGGGAUUUGUUCACUGAAUAGCAACAGAAUGGAACUCAGAUUUCUUAUUUUUUACUACUGAGAUGAUUGGUUUACCAGUGCUGCUUUUACUAGCUACUCUUUGAUGUUACUUUGUUAACAAAUGGGAUCAAAUGCCACUAUGGUACUGGACAAGUUCCUGUGACAACUAGAAUUUGCACAGUAUCUUUAAAAUAGCUAGCUAUUAAAAAAAAAAAAAAAAAGAAUUUUAUAAAAUACAGAAGAUCAAGAAUGUGUGCUUAAUAGUGCAGCUGGAACUGCCACGUGUGCAGCGAUCAGGUCUCGCUGCCCUGCGUGCAACGGGCUGCUCCUGGUUUUGUCCUCGUUCAUCACUCUGCUACCUGCCCUCUGUGCUGUGUGCUCUGCCUCCUUGGCUUUGGCUGGCUGACUCGAGUUGUUAGAAGACAGGUUCAAUCAGACCUUUGCUCUUCACCCCCUUCUCAAAUUAGCGUAGUAAAACCUAUUAAGAGGAAUAGAUUUGGUUGAUGGUGUUUGUAUUUGUUUGUUUGUUUUCCCCAUGGUCUGCUCUGCUCUGAUGCUUGUGCUGAGUACUCAGCGAGGUCUUCAAUAAGAUACGGUGAAACAAUUGCACAUGGAGAAAUGGAUCUUAAUUUAUAGUGGGGUUUCAGGCCAGUCCUGCUUUCCCUGCCUUAUGAGAGGCUGCUGUACCAAGAGGAUCGUUUCCCUCUGUCAUGUACCGACUCCUUUUGAACUCCUCUGUCGCUGUGGUUCUGCAGACUGCUGCAGAAUGGCUCUUACUGAAUCAUAUUUGCAUGUCAGUUCCUUUCAUCACAGGCUGCUUGCUGAAAAAUCUACUCUCCUUUGUCUUGUGUUGGUUGUUUGCUUUCACUCUGAAAGGAAGGCGGUUUAGAUUUGUUCCAUGUCUUCUUUGACCUGGUUGUGUUGAUGGCUUUUGUACUGAAUCUGUACAACAUCUCCUUUUUCUGACAUGUCCCAAACUGCGGCUGUGUUUGCAGAAGUUAUGGAGCACUGAGCUGUAAGAAUGGCUUUUCCCUAAUCCGUUUUGAGUUGUUGGCUUUUUACCUUUCCUUUGGGAGGUAAAGGCCCCAAUUUUAAUCUGCUGUAGUUUAUUGGAGUAUGAACUUCACCUUCGGUCACCAAUCUGUUUUUCAUGUUACUGCAUGAUAUAGGUCUGGGGUUAGUGGUUGGUUGUUUUUCUCUGUGAUUCCAUUCAGGGAUUCUACCCGAUUGCCAGUGCCCGUUUUCUAUUGGAAAUGAAGUAUAUAUUGUAAAGAGAACGUUGUGUGCCUGUGUGUGCAGGUGUGCACUGCUGGGUGUCUGCAGUGCUGAGACCAGUAGUACAGAAGAUACUGUUGGUUUGUUUACAGUAGAAAGUUAUUACUACUUUGAAAUGUCCAUUUGAUUUGCUAUCACAGAAUGCUUAUAGCUCUAUUAAGACACGUGAUCUGCGUGUACUGGUAAUAAAAAUGCCAUAAAAUCUUACCACGAGUCGUUUUAUAAGUGUAGCAUUGUCUAUCCUAAGCUUUUAGAAACUACAAGUUCUUGUAAGAAGAAAGAAGGAGAGACAAAGAAAGAAAAAAGUCAUGUAAACAUCAUUGGAACUUCUUGAUGCUUAUCAGAGCUCAUAAAGUAUUGCCCAGCUCUUGUCCUACCCAUUUUUUUUCUCCUCGUAUGGAUAUCAAAAACGAGCUUGGUUGUAUUAGGCAGGAAAACGGUGAUAUCACUGUUCUUGGGCACGUAGUAGAAGGGUGAGCUGAUGUCACUGCUGUGCUUUGUGAGAGAAGUCCUGCCGUCCUGAGCCCGGAAAGUCAGGUGCCGGAGGUGGUGCAGUCGAAAUGUGACCCAGGGCAGCCUUGCUUUGUUUUGCUCUUAGCGUUGGUUGAUUGCAGAUGGAGUUGUAUUAUUUAGGUGUAAGUGGUCUUUUACCUCUCCUUGAUAGAUGACUGACCUUCUUACUGCUCCUGAAUUAGGAUCGUUUGCCAUAGGCUCUGUCAAAUCCUUUUCAAAAACUGAAUGAACACUAAGUAUGAAUUAGCUGUUCUCCAGUGCAAUCAAAGCAUGGAGGAUGGAGUAGAGGUAGUUUUCAUUUAAAAUUCAUGAGUACCCCUUUUCUCUACAGUAUUUUGCAAUAGAAGGUGAAAGGUCUCUUGGGAGUGUGGAAAUCUGGGGAAGGAGAGGGAAGGGUCUGGUUACGUUUGUUAUGUGGAAGUACUGUUAUCUGCUAUUGGUUAUUUUGUUGUCUCAUUGAUUACUGGGAAAUUAAGUAAUUUUCCAAGACUCUGCUUUACAACAUGCUUACGAAAGGGCCCUUGUGAUACCUUUUUGAACAGAAGUGAUAGAAAUGCUUUGAAAUAUUCAUGUGGAAGAAAAAAAGAAGAGAUUAUCUUCAGGAUUCAUCCUCAUCCAAGAUACUUCUCUUUUUUAAUGCAGGUUAGGUGGUAGAUCAGAGAUUCUGGAUGAGAGCUUUCCACUCAUUAAAGACAAGCUCCACAGGCAUUAGAACAGUUGCUCAACAUGUUUCCUUCCUAGAAGAGGAAAUGUCUGAAGUAGAGAAGAGCCAUGGUGCCUUUUUAGUACAAUUUGCCAAUUGUUUUGAUAUGCAACUAUCCCAUCUUUAAAAACACCUCCUCCAUGAGCGGCACUUUAAGAUCUGCCAAUGCUCUACCAAACCGAAGACUUCUUCCCUGUGAACAAUGUAGGUAUCAAGUAUCAAAGUCAUUAAUUUGUGUCUCUUUUAUAAAAGGAUGGGUUUGUUCUUACACUUCAUACAUACAUACAUAUAUAUAUAUAUACAUAAAUUAGAAGCAGCUGCUACAUUUCGGAUCUUUGGUUAGCAUCUCUAAAGGGAAACUGAAAAUUUCCAAUCAUAUUGUGACCAUAUAGAGGCUGGAACAUUUAUUCUAUGAUUUGAUCACAGUAGUUUACACCAUAAGCUUACAGAACCAGCAAAGCAAAUUUUUAUUUAAAAUGAUCAGAAGGUUAAAGAAUGUGCUAGUAUUGCAUGCUAAAACUGCCAGCCUCACAAAUGAUCAAGUUACACAUUAGAACAUGAAAUCGGGGGUCAAAAUUUAAAAAUUCAAUAAACCACACAUGGCCAAACCUUCUAGCACUCUGAAGCAGGAACAGGGCUUUAAAAGCUGUUGUGUAAUGUAAGUUGAAUGAUAUGAAUAAACUUUGCAAAAUUGUCAUGAACCUUUGGAUGUGCCACUUUGUAAUGAUGAUUCUAUUUAACAAGAACUUGGCAUAAAAUAUUCAUC
This is a non-coding RNA of Meleagris gallopavo (turkey), 3997 nucleotides long. The record is from RefSeq and is a predicted model, not a curated record. NCBI's taxonomy places the organism in Eukaryota, Metazoa, Chordata, Aves, Galliformes, Phasianidae.